CUGUUUCCUCCAGAUGAAGUAUUGUGGAAGAAAUUGCUGCAAAGGUCCACCUGACGAAAAAGUGAUGGCUUGGAUAUAAAUCCCAAGUGAAUAUUGGACAGAUGCCUGGGACACAACACAGAAUCUCAAUUGAAUCGCAUGACCUAUUGCCAAGAUAAAGAGCGAGUGAGAGAGAUGCGGAGGAGGAUGAGCAGGCUGGGAGAUGGAUGGUGUGCACUGAAGAGCACUCACAUGACUGAUGAAUGGGAAGGCUAUAUUGGUUAAAAUGGCCUUUGUGACACAGCCAGAGCCAAAGACAAGUGCGACAUCGUCCAUCACUGAAGAACAGCAAAAGAGGAUCUGUUUUGUGUGUAAACCAAACAUUAUAAACAUAUGUAGGAUAAUCAUUAAAAUGAUAUACAUUAAUUGAAUAAUGCAGAUAUUUCUGUACAUCAAUGAAUUUUGGUGUAAUGCCCAGUAUAUAUCCUUAGCAUUCAGGAUGGAACUAUCUUUACUGGGCGUUAUGACACAGGGUACAAGCACCACCACAACAACAAACAAACAGACAAUAAUGUUAGCUUCCUUUCCUCUCUAGUGUUGAGAUUCCUGCAUAAGUCACAUUGUGUGGCUGGCUAACAGCCAUAGAAGAGAUAAGACGAUGUGCCAUCAGCAGAGAUAAGCAUCUUAUCAGCCUGUCUGCCCGUCCACACCCACAUCCAGAGGAGACCUGUUGUAUUACAGGGCUGUUAGACAUGCCCUGACACCUGCAGAUAAAGAAUCGGUCAGUCUCUGCCUUCUUAAAGGAAAAAAAUACAUUCUGACACUCUUUCAAUUAAAGCAGCUAUCAUUUCUCCCGAGCAGGAAGCGAGGCAUGGGGCUGAAAGUUUAUGCAGGGCCAUUUGUUG
Molecule: long non-coding RNA, 884 nt
Organism: Osmerus eperlanus (European smelt)
Lineage: Eukaryota; Metazoa; Chordata; Actinopteri; Osmeriformes; Osmeridae
Exons: 3
Source: RefSeq, a predicted model, not a curated record